Phyllostomus hastatus (greater spear-nosed bat) is the source of this 768-nucleotide long non-coding RNA. RefSeq lists it as uncharacterized. Lineage: Eukaryota; Metazoa; Chordata; Mammalia; Chiroptera; Phyllostomidae. The record is from RefSeq and is a predicted model, not a curated record. The transcript has 5 exons.
CGUCUUCCCACUCCCUCCCCCACAGGCUGCUGGCGUCCCUCUGUUCUUCGACUGGGCCUCAGGAGCUGCCUGUUCCUUCUUCCCAAAGGUCGUUUUCCCUGUUUCAGUUAUUGUCAUACUGUGUCACAAUUCGUGUGCCGGUUGUUAAACAUUCACCAGCACCUCGCUGCCUGCCGCCUCCCACUCUGCCUGCACAUCCUCCAAGACAGCAGGCUUCUCUGUGAAGCUGUCUUUGACUCCCACGGAAGAACAGGGAGAAGAAAACAACUCCUCUGUGCUAAGUCUCAGGGCUGCGUACUUUACGUACACAAUCCUCCUGCCACCAGCAAAGCAGUUGUACCGUGUGUUUGUUUGUGGUUGUCUGCCUGGUUGCAAACUCACAGCUGGAAAGAUCUCAGAUGCCUUAAAAUUUUCAACCUAUGAGAACAGAGAGCUAAAUGAUACAGUGGGGGCAGAUCUCGGAGAUAUUGUAGUGUCAGAACACUGCAAUGACGCAAAUACCGCAAUAAGUGCCAUUGGAAAAGCAGCAUCACCUAGUAAACCCUGACUAAUGUACAAUUAAACCGCCCCAAGUUAAACACAGCUCGCAUGACCGUCAUGGGUUCCCUCUGAAGAGCUGAGUCACCUGUACAAGAGCAAACUCCCCUCAAAGAAGAACAGAGACAUGGAGAAUGAGAGGAAGUCUUGCUGAUAGAGACCCAGCAGGAAAGGGAGCUUGGAGGUUAGCCAUAAUGCGAACUCCCACGAUGCUAAAAUAAUAAAAUAAUU